GAUUAAGUUAUUAAGGGCGCACGGUGGAUGCCUUGGCACUAGAAGCCGAUGAAGGACGUUACUAACGACGAUAUGCUUUGGGGAGCUGUAAGUAAGCUUUGAUCCAGAGAUUUCCGAAUGGGGAAACCCAGCAUGAGUUAUGUCAUGUUAUCGAUAUGUGAAUACAUAGCAUAUCAGAAGGCACACCCGGAGAAC
RNAcentral lists this ribosomal RNA (195 nucleotides) under Staphylococcus aureus. RNAcentral describes it as "partial 23S ribosomal RNA". It matches the Rfam family "Bacterial large subunit ribosomal RNA", at positions 1 to 193 of the family's 2925-position model. The record is from RNAcentral. Lineage: Bacteria; Bacillati; Bacillota; Bacilli; Caryophanales; Staphylococcaceae.